GGCCGGUCUGAAAAAAGUGGUGUUUACAACUAAUUGAUCAAAACCAGUUACAGAUUUCUUUGUUCCUUCUCUAAUUCCACUGCUUCACUUGACUAGCCUUAA
Molecule: Y RNA, 102 nt
Filed under: Propithecus coquereli (Coquerel's sifaka)
Lineage: Eukaryota; Metazoa; Chordata; Mammalia; Primates; Indriidae
Description: Y RNA (ENSPCOG00000010037.1)
Rfam family: Y RNA
About the family: Y RNAs are components of the Ro ribonucleoprotein particle (Ro RNP), in association with Ro60 and La proteins. The Y RNAs and Ro60 and La proteins are well conserved, but the function of the Ro RNP is not known.
Source: Rfam by way of RNAcentral